This is a non-coding RNA of Phalacrocorax carbo (great cormorant), 1653 nucleotides long. NCBI's taxonomy places the organism in Eukaryota, Metazoa, Chordata, Aves, Suliformes, Phalacrocoracidae. The record is from RefSeq and is a predicted model, not a curated record.
UACCGCGUAAGCGGCCGCCUCACGGAAAGGCGCUCCGUGGAAGGGUGGGGGGGACACGACACCCCAAACCGAGCCCUGACGGGAGGACGGGAGGGCGGGAGGAAGGCCCACUCGGGGAACACCUCUCCGUCCGUCAGGGACGCGGCUCCUCAGCUCUGAGGGCCGCCUCGGGAAUACCGGCGCUCCGCGGCAGCUGCAGCCAACGGCGUGUCGUGAGAAAGGAACUUUGUUCCAGAAAGGAACAGAAUGCAAUAUAGACUGAACAUCUUUUGUCACUUGCUGCCAUCUAUCAGCAGUGAAGAGCAAGACAGCAAAGACUGACUGAGCAAAGACUGAGGUCAGCCUUAAAGAAACUGAAAGCAUUCCUGAAAAAAAUAAAUGUUUGUGUGGGCUGGGGAGAGAAAAAGGCACAGAGCCCUGGAAUCCAAUGAGAAAAAGAGCCUGCCAGGCCUCCUGCUCAUACCAUUCCAGAUGCUGAUGGCCCAUCUUUCCCAGCCACAGAGGACCGGAAUCUCCACGGACAACCAUUUUUUCAAACCAUGUCUCAUCAGACAGAUUAAUUCAUAGUGUGGCUAUAGGAUUUGAGCAUGCUUUUGGCAAAGCCAAGAAAUCGUGAAUAAGAAUCUGUAUUCGUACAUUGCAAUGUUACUGAGAAAGAAAACACACGGGGGUUGUAGGUAGUGGUAUCACUAUCUGUCUGAGGAAGUAACAGUUAACGCCUACUGUAUUGUCCUGCAGAGCUCUCUUUUGAAAUUACAAGCUAUCUUUUCUGCUCUUUUUGUUCAAGACAGAGUCUCUUUCUCACUAGAGGGUUUAAGCUUCCUUAGUUCUUUCACCCAACUCUUGAUACUUUGCCCAGCAGAAGGGCAGCUUCUGGGUUUAUGCUAAAUAUGCCUCAGUUUUCCACUGGGCUUAGCCUUUAAGUUACAAUACACAAAUAUGGCAAAAGCAACUUUUCCCUCUCCCUGGGGUUUCUCUGAAUUUACAGCCCUAUUGUGUUCCUUAAUUAGAACAUUCCUUCUAUCCUAAAUGGCCUUUUUGACAGUUACAUUUCCAAGGUUGUUAUGAAGUGUUAAUUUACAGUCAUUGUUUCACCUUGAACUCUUCUUAACCAGACAGCCCAGGCAAUAAUAAACCCCACCAAUUCCUUGAAUCCCAGUUUUAGUCAGUGGGACCUGCAUUGCCGUAAUUGUGCCCCUGACACAAUUAUUAUCCUCAUGUUACUAGGACAUAAGCAUAAACAACUUGCCACGUUAGACCAAAUGAAUGCUAGACAGCUCUGAGCUUGUUUCACAUGAUCCUCUCACAGGUUUGUUAAUCUACUGGAUGUCUCCAUAAUACCCUGUGAGAGAAGCUGCUGCUUUAGAAAUGUGCCAAAAAGUCUACCAUGCAGAUUCAGUACAUAAAACCACACAGCCAGAAGCAAAGUAUAUAUCAUUCUUCAGCAGGAGAGAAAGGAUUGGUUGCUUAAGGGCAUAUUUAAGUGAGUUUGCCUCUCUUCCAGAAUUCAUAAAUAUUUAAAUAUUUCUGAUCCACGCGUCGGAACAGCAAACAUACAAUCCACCCAAAGAGUUAAAGCUUGAGCUGUGGCUGUGAUAAACACAAUAAUUUCUGUUGAAUGCUGCUUGAAACAAGAUUAAACCUGGACAAAGA